AGUAACCUGAAAUGCUUUCUUUUGCAUAUUUGAACCUACAAUUACUUUAAAAAGGGAUUCCUAUAUUUUUAUUCUGAUGUCAGGCCCCGCUUUCAUCAGGGGAAGGCAGAGGUCUAAGUGCGGUAACCCACCUGGUCUGCGACUAGGAGUCAAUUCGCGGGGAUUGCAUUUCGGGCCUUAA
RNAcentral lists this non-coding RNA (181 nucleotides) under Lachnospiraceae bacterium. RNAcentral's name for it is "6S RNA". It matches the Rfam family "6S / SsrS RNA". From Rfam's summary of the family: E. coli 6S RNA was the first non coding RNA to be sequenced, but its function was unknown until recently. Lineage: Bacteria; Bacillati; Bacillota; Clostridia; Lachnospirales; Lachnospiraceae. The record is from RNAcentral.